This 301-nucleotide ribosomal RNA is filed under the name uncultured bacterium. Its description in RNAcentral is "partial 16S ribosomal RNA". It matches the Rfam family "Bacterial small subunit ribosomal RNA", at positions 509 to 807 of the family's 1533-position model. The record is from RNAcentral.
CAGUCGCCGCGGUAAUACAGAGGGUGCAAGCGUUAAUCGGAAUUACUGGGCGUAAAGCGCGCGUAGGUGGUUUGUUAAGUUGGAUGUGAAAUCCCCGGGCUCAACCUGGGAACUGCAUCCAAAACUGGCAAGCUAGAGUAUGGUAGAGGGUGGUGGAAUUUCCUGUGUAGCGGUGAAAUGUGUAGAUAUAGGAAGGAACACCAGUGGCGAAGGCGACCACCUGGACUGAUACUGACACUGAGGUGCGAAAGCGUGGGGAGCAAACAGGAUUAGAUACCCCUGUAGUCCCUGUCUCUUAUAC